This 400-nucleotide ribosomal RNA is filed under the name uncultured bacterium. RNAcentral describes it as "partial 16S ribosomal RNA". It matches the Rfam family "Bacterial small subunit ribosomal RNA", at positions 338 to 755 of the family's 1533-position model. The record is from RNAcentral.
CCUACGGGGGGCAGCAGUAGGGAAUAUUGCUCAAUGGGGGAAACCCUGAAGCAGCAACGCCGCGUGGAGGAUGAAGGUUUUCGGAUUGUAAACUCCUUUUGUUAGAGAAGAGAAUGACGGUAUCUAAGGAAUAAGCACCGGGUAACGCCGGGCCAGCAGCCGCGGUAAUACGGAGGGGGCAAGCGUUACUCGGAAUCACUGGGCGUAAAGAGCGCGUAGGCGGGAUGGCAAGUCAGAUGUGAAAUCCUAUGGCUUAACCCUAGAACUGCAUUUGAAACUGUUAUUCUAGAGUAUGGGAGAGGUAGGUGGAAUUCUUGGUGUAGGGGUCAAAUCCGUAGAGAUCACGAGGAAUACUCAUUGCGAAGGCGACCUGCUAGAACAUACCUGACGCUGAUGCGCG